CCAGGACACCCUGGACCAGAUGGUUCUUCCGGGGAAAAAGGCGUCAUGGGUGCUCGAGGCUUUACAGGUCACAAAGGAGAACAAGGUGGUCAAGGAAUACCAGGACCUACGGUCGACCAGAACACCAGAAAUUUAAUGAAAAGGUGUUGUGACCCUGUAACUGGCUAUCAGUCAAUAAUAGAACAAAUUAUAGAAAAUAUAACUCAAAUGAAAAUUGAUAAGCUGAAUGGUUAUGACAAACCAGCGUUUCACGUAGGAGG
Molecule: long non-coding RNA, 260 nt
Organism: Corticium candelabrum
Lineage: Eukaryota; Metazoa; Porifera; Homoscleromorpha; Homosclerophorida; Plakinidae
Exons: 5
Source: RefSeq, a predicted model, not a curated record